This 62-nucleotide transfer RNA is filed under the name Graphocephala sp. EMHAU-2015-Zz052315. RNAcentral describes it as "tRNA-Asp". Lineage: Eukaryota; Metazoa; Arthropoda; Insecta; Hemiptera; Cicadellidae. The record is from RNAcentral.
AAAAAUUUAGUUUAAAAAAAACAUUAAUUUGUCAAAUUAAAAAUAUUUUGUAAUAAUUUUUA